Chenopodium quinoa (quinoa) is the source of this 1083-nucleotide long non-coding RNA. RefSeq lists it as uncharacterized. NCBI's taxonomy places the organism in Eukaryota, Viridiplantae, Streptophyta, Magnoliopsida, Caryophyllales, Amaranthaceae. The record is from RefSeq and is a predicted model, not a curated record. The transcript is spliced from 8 exons.
UUUCACCAACUAGACCUCAAUAUGAUUCAAAAUUUUUCACCAAUCACAAUUUCAAAUCUCUUUCUCUCUCUUACUUCUCUACUCCUCUCUUUCUCUUUCUACCAAUUCUAUCUUGCUUUCAAAAAUUCUUGAAGCUUCUCCAUCUCUACAAUGGCAGAAUUGCAGUUCGGUGAAGGAGGCAUCGCAGAGGAGGAGGAGGAUUUCUUUGCAGUGAUUGAUCAAUAGAAACUCAGUGAUCCUCAUCACCACUGAAAACCAGGCACAACUGCUAAAUGGUGGAAUCGAGACAUUCAAAAUCAUUGGAAUGUUGGGAGAAUUUAGCUGUUGAAACACUCGGCUAGCAUGUACCGAACACGUCUCAACAGAGUGUGCCAGGCAUUAGUUGGUGUCAUUUCUUUCUGGAUUUCCAACAAUUGGAGUCGUCAGUUUCUCAUAGCAAUCCAUGUCGGCAGCUCAGUUGCGGACAUAGAGAAAUUUGCUACGAAGUUUGCAAGUACUUCAGAAAUAAAAAGAUCCAUCACCUUAUUGGAGAAAAAGAUCAUAAUCUAUGUGGACAGAGAGCAACUUUAUUUCAACCAGUUUGCACAAGUUGAGUUUGAUGACUACAAAUUCACUCAACAAAUGUUUGAUCAUUGGAAGAAGAAACCAAAAAAGGGAACGUCCCACUAUGAAGGAACCACAGCUAAAUCCAUUAAAUCAGCUAAGAAGGAAGUACAUUUCUAGGUUUCUUUACAUGAUCGGGCUAAAAAGAUGUUGCAGAAGAUCGCAUGGAACUGGGAUCCUAACCUGAGUGAAUUCAGUUUUGUUCUGCGAAUUACAAAUGAUUGGAAAGCAGUUAGUUACUUAAGGAAAGAAGGUGUUUGGAAAGGAACUAAAGUACUUUAUCACACAAUGACAAAAACAGACAAGGAUUCCAUUGAGAGUUCUGAGACAGAAGUUGCUGCAAUAAAAAGGACCUAGACAGAAGCCGUUUAUGGACACGAUCACUUAUCCACCAAUACAUCCUACCAUGCGCUUAUCAUACCCGCUCUAGCUGUUGUUACACUUCUUUGCUUUUUCUGUGUUUUCAUUGGGUCAGUUAUG